UACAGAGGCCUCAAGCGUUAGGCGGAAUCACUGGGCUUAAAGCGCGUGUAGGCGGACCGUUAAGUACCUUGUGAAAUCCCACGGCUCAACCGUGGAACUGCUGGGUAUACUGGCGGUCUUGGGCCACUCAGGGGUUGCCGGAACAAGCGGUGGAGCGGUGAAAUGCGUAGAUAUCGCUUGGAACGCCAAAGGUGAAAGACAGGCAACUGGGAGUGCGGCCGACGCUGAGACGCGAAAAGCCAGGGGAGGCCAAAGCGGGAUUAAGAAACCCGGGGGUAGUACCCAGACC
This 289-nucleotide ribosomal RNA is filed under the name uncultured bacterium. RNAcentral describes it as "partial 16S ribosomal RNA". It matches the Rfam family "Bacterial small subunit ribosomal RNA", at positions 524 to 801 of the family's 1533-position model. The record is from RNAcentral.